Molecule: long non-coding RNA, 2852 nt
Filed under: Homo sapiens (human)
Lineage: Eukaryota; Metazoa; Chordata; Mammalia; Primates; Hominidae
Description: HSALNT0389980
Source: RNAcentral
AGCAAGCCACGUGGGCAAGCCCGAAACCAGGGGGCGGGAAAGUACCCUCCACCCACAAGGAAACCAUGGCAAGCGGUGGUUGCAGUGGUAUCUGUCUCUGUGAAGACUCCACCACGGGUCGCCAUCAGGUCAGAGACCCUGACAAGGUAAGAAUUUGCAUUUUCCUCUGCACACAACCCUGUUCCCUUCCCCUCCGCAUGCCUAACACAACACUCCCUUCCCCCCCAUGCCUAACAGAGAGAAAGGAGAGAGACAGUUCUUGAGCCCGGUUCUUCCUGCUUGAGCUUGGUGUGUCAACCAAAAGAGUCAAACUCUGUAAAAUAUUUGAAGGGAUUUAUUUUGAGCCUACUAUGCAUGACCAAUGGCCCAUGACAGCCUUCAGCAGAUCCUGAGAACAUGUGCCCAAGGUGAUCAGGCCACAACUUGGUUUUAUGUGUUUCAGGGAGACAUCGGACAUCAAUAAUAUAUGCGACAUGUACAGUGGUUUGAUCUGGAAAGGCUGGACAACUGGAAUGGGGUUGGGGAAGUGGACGACUUCCAGGUUAUAAGUAGAUCGAAAGAUUUUCUGAUUGGCAAUUGGUGGAAAGAGUUAAAUUACUGUCUAAAGACUUAAAAUCAACAGAAAGGAAUGUUUGGGUUAAGAUAAGAGAUUGUGGAGACCAAGGUUUUAUCACGCAGGUGAAGCCUCCAGGUGGCAGGCUUCAGAGAGAAUAGACUGUAAAUGUUUCCUUUCAGACUUAAAGAGUCUGUUCUAUCAGUAAGUCCAAAAGGAGGGAUCGUAUAAUUAGGCAUGACUGGGCUCCCCUUCCCAUCAUGGCCUGAACUAGUUUUCAGGUUAACUUUGGAAUGCCCUUUGCUGAGUGGAGAGGAGGAGUCCAUUCAGAUGGUUGGGUGAGCUUAGAAUUUUAUGUUUGGGUUUCAGUUGGCAUCCAGUAUCCCUUCCCCCAAGUUUGGGGCCCCUCCCAAAGGAGAUAGGCCUGGGUCUCUCCUCACAUCCUUGGGGGUCUCAGAACUGCAGACUCAAACCUUUUGCCUCAAGGAAUCCCUUUGAUGAUUUGCAUAAACCCUUGGGAGGCUGCAGGGGGGCUGCUCUGGAGCUGAGACACAGCGAGUCAAUCUCCCUCCAUCCCCCUUUUGUCUUGUUCUCACCCUGAGGCUGCAGGCCUCAAGUUUUUUGGCUGGAUUCUUCCCAAAGCAGGUUGGGGGUGCAGGUACUGUAAUCACCUGAUGGGUUCUUCCUGCCUACUGCACAGACAAAACCAAUCCACUGAGACCAUGGCAUUGCAGUAAAGAAAGAGUAAUUGACACAAGGCCGGGCACACAGGAAAUAGUUAUUACUCAAAUCGGUCUCCCCCAAAACUUGAAGAUUAGUUUUUCAAAGAUAGUUUGGUGGGCAGGGUCUAGGGUAGGGUAGAGGUGCUGCUGAUUGGUUGGGCAUGCAGAUAUAGGGGUAUGGAAAAUGGUCCUUGAAUGCUGAGUCUGCUUCUGGUUGGCAGCCACAGGACUGGUUGAGUCACGAGUCUCGAUGGAGCCAGAAAUGCAUAAAGAAACAUCUUUCCUUAUGCAGAUGUUGAUCAGCUGUGCUUACACAUUCCUUUGUAAGGACAGGACAGUCUCCCCUAAGUUAGGGGACAAAAGUGACUCCUACUGAUGGCAUUAGCUCUGCCCCUACUCUCAGAUGCAAUGCCAGGGACUGUGAGGACUAGAGACCCUGGAGCUGCUGGCUGGGUGUGGUCGGGGGCCAGUUAUCAGCCUCUCUGAACUCCAUGUCCUUAGUACUAAACAGAAGCCCCUUUUGCAGGGUGGGCACUGGGAAGCACUGUUGGGGCCAUCCUUUGUUGGUGGCCUCUUCUCUUCCAUCUCCUCUGGGUUUUCACGGCUUUUUCAGGAGCAGGCCUUGCCACCCUGAGUGCCCUCCAUGACCACAGCUACCUUCUGAGGAAAGAGGCCUCGGGGGUCCUCUCUGCAUGUAGUUGCCGGGCAGGCCUCGCCUGGCUGUAUAUGGGAAUCACCUGGGGAACGUUACAAACCACUAUUGUGUUGCCCUGCCUCCCAGAGAUUCUGCACCUUGUAUUAACUGAGCACCUAGAGCCAGGUGUGGUGAUGCACACCUGUAGUCCCAGCUACUCAGGAAGCUGAGGUGGGAGGAUUCCCUGAGACCAGGAGUUCAAGAUUAAGCCUGGGGAAACUACUGAGACCCCCAUCUCAAAAUUAAUUAAUUAAAAAAUACUGAGCACCUACUCAAUGGCCAGCACUGAACUAGGUGCUGGAGUUACAGUGAUCACUAAGAUAUAAUUGUUGUCCUCGAAGAACUUCAGUCAGGUGGGAAUAGAUAUUUAUUGAAUGGAAUAAUAUUUCAAGAAAUAUCUACCAAGAGGCCACUUCUUGGAAAUCCCUGUUGGAAAGAUUUUUAUCUUUUUUAUGAGCAGAGUGCAAAGUUGUCUCUUUAGAUGGAUGAAUUUUGAAGGGAAGUUAGUAAUCUAGUUCCUAUCCCCCAACCUCCCAUUUUACAGACGCAAAAACCAAGGCCAAACAGCUGAGUUUUCUGCCCUGGAGGAGGAAAGUGGUCUCUGAAAGCCAGAAGACUCUCACAUUACAUAAUUCCUGCCAGCUGCUGUCAAGAGCUGCUAAGCUGUCCUCAAGUCCUGUGUCUGAUGUCAAGCUAAUAACAGAUUUAGGGUGCAUUAGUAAAGGUAUCUUAAUCAAGUCUAGAUGCCUUCGAGAUUAGACUCAGCCAUGAUGAGCAGCUAAGGAUUAGCAAGAAAGAUUACAAAUUGUUUCCAGGAAUUUAUUUCUUUCAACACUGAUUAUAUGUAUAGUCUUAAGUCAAAUUAAAAUGUUGUUUAUGUUCA